RNAcentral lists this ribosomal RNA (647 nucleotides) under uncultured Gymnopilus. RNAcentral describes it as "eukaryotic LSU rRNA". The stretch from base 239 to 391 matches the Rfam family "5.8S ribosomal RNA". Lineage: Eukaryota; Fungi; Basidiomycota; Agaricomycetes; Agaricales; Cortinariaceae. The record is from RNAcentral.
UCAUUAUUGAAUAAACUUGAUGUAGUUGAGCUGACUCUCUCGGGAGUAUGUGCUCGCUCGUCAUCUUUAUCUUUCCACCUGUGCACUUUUUGUAGAUUUGGAUGUAACUGUCCGAGGCAACUCGGUUGGGAGGAAUGCUGUCUCUGAUGGCUUUCCUUGUAUGUCCAAGUCUAUGUUUUCAUAUACUCCAAGUAUGUAACAGAAUGUAUCACUGGGCCUUGUGACUAUAACUAUAUAAAACUUUCAGCAACGGAUCUCUUGGCUCUCGCAUCGAUGAAGAACGCAGCGAAAUGCGAUAAGUAAUGUGAAUUGCAGAAUUCAGUGAAUCAUCGAAUCUUUGAACGCACCUUGCGCCCCUUGGUAUUCCGAGGGGCAUGCCUGUUGAGUGUCAUUAAAUUCUCAACCUUACUAGCUUUGCGAAGUAAUGGCUUGGACUUGGGGUCUUUUUUGCUGGGUUUCGAAAAGAGAUCUGCUCCCCCUUAAAAUGCAUUAGCCGGUGCCCCCGCGUGGACCCGUCUAUGGGUGUGAUAAAUUAUCUACGCCGUUAGAUGUCUGCUAUUAAAUGGGAUGUGCUGCUUCUAAUCGUCCUUCAGGACAAUUAUUGACCAUUUGACCUCAAAUCAGGUAGGACUACCCGCUGAACUUAA